UGAAUCGGUGGAUUAUAACUUUGA
This 24-nucleotide ribosomal RNA is filed under the name Albinaria schuchii. RNAcentral's name for it is "partial 5.8S ribosomal RNA". The record is from RNAcentral. Lineage: Eukaryota; Metazoa; Mollusca; Gastropoda; Stylommatophora; Clausiliidae.